GAUCAAUGAUGAAAUGGCCAAAUCUGAAUAUCACAAGACAUUCCAGUCUACCAAUACAUGAUCUCUACAGUUUUGAGA
Nycticebus coucang (slow loris) is the source of this 78-nucleotide small nucleolar RNA. RefSeq annotates it as small nucleolar RNA U2-19. The transcript has a single exon. The record is from RefSeq and is a predicted model, not a curated record. Lineage: Eukaryota; Metazoa; Chordata; Mammalia; Primates; Lorisidae.